This is a non-coding RNA of Erythranthe guttata (spotted monkey flower), 687 nucleotides long. Lineage: Eukaryota; Viridiplantae; Streptophyta; Magnoliopsida; Lamiales; Phrymaceae. The record is from RefSeq and is a predicted model, not a curated record.
UAUUCAUGGUAUCUUCCUUUCUCCAUGAAAACUCACGGCCGAGCACCCCUUUAGAACCUUUGUUCUUCCGAUUUUUAAAUUAGUAAAUCUAGAAAUCUUAAAAUAGCAACAUGGUUGAAAGAUACGGGGCUGAGAUGGUGUUCUAUUUCCAGCAGCCGGAAUCCGGCGAAGAAGACAAGUUGUCACUUAUAAUUCGAAUUUCAGCAGUUAGGCCUUCAAAGAAAUAAUUGUUUAGAGGCCUUGAGAUUGAACCUCGUUGAUCAGGAUCCAUCGUUAGAAAGCUAAUGAAUUUGGCUCUCUAUUGGUGGUAGUUCUCGAUGGUUUACACCGACAGUGGUCGCCGGAGUUUGCGGAGAAGUCAGCCAGCCCGCUGGGAUUUUGGGGAAGCAAAAUCUGCUGCCGCACCUGUUUUCGGAGCCGAAAUCGAAGGGUUUCGAAUGCGAAUUUGGAAUCGGUUCCUUCGGGAAACUCGUAGAGGACAUCGUAAACUAUAAGUGUUGAGCGUAGUAAAGCUCUCACUCAAGGUUUAAGCUUAAGGAUGCACCUAUAGAACUAGCAUUGGACUCCAGGUGAGAAACUAUGACUCCUUAUCCGAUUUCUUUCCUGCGCUUAAUAUCUCCUUUGUUUGAACCGAAUAUUUUGUAUAUAUUGAAGCCUUCGAUACCUUGAUUAUAUUUGUUCUUGAAA